This 298-nucleotide unclassified non-coding RNA is filed under the name Hevea brasiliensis (rubber tree). Lineage: Eukaryota; Viridiplantae; Streptophyta; Magnoliopsida; Malpighiales; Euphorbiaceae. The record is from RNAcentral.
AAAUCAUUUCUCCUAUUUUUUAAUAUAUUUGAAAUUUAGUGAAUAUGAUUCAAUAACCCUAUAAAGAGUAAAUUUCUAAUUUUGAAUCAUGAGUAAUGACCUAAAUAUAUAUCAUACAAUCAAACUAAUUGGAAACAGAGACUUUGGCUCAGGAUGUUAGAGCUUUUUCGCUUGAUCAUCUUUCUUAUGUUGUUAAUUUCAUCCCUAGAUCAGUUGAUCGAGCGCUAACUGGGUUGCCAAUAUAGCUAGACUUAGGAGUCUCUCUCAAGUGAAAUUUUAAAAUAUAAUCAUUGCAAAU